This 879-nucleotide long non-coding RNA is filed under the name Nicotiana benthamiana. RNAcentral describes it as "long non-coding RNA (NBEN_LNC011276)". Lineage: Eukaryota; Viridiplantae; Streptophyta; Magnoliopsida; Solanales; Solanaceae. The record is from RNAcentral.
UCAAAUGAAUUCUCUUAUCUAUUAAAUUUUUGUGUUAUUAUUUUUUCAUCUUUCCAUAAAAAAUUUGUAGCCGAGGUGCUAUAAUUUUGUAUCAGAGCACGAUUAUGGAAAUUACCAUGGGAGAUAAGUAGAGAAAUCCAUCUUUUGAAAACAGAGUGAAAAUAGUUGAAGGUCCGCUCAAGAAUUUCAUUGAAGAUCUGUGAAACGAAUGGACCAAACUAAAGAGAAACAAGAAAAUUAUAAUAUUAAGAUGGCUGAAGUUAUGAUUACCACGAGACGCAUUGAAGAUUCUGUUAAUGAUAGAUAGCCAGAGUAAGGUUGCCGGCAUUCAUGGAGGGAUGGUAGUAGAAGCAGGGCAAUCUUCAGUGGGAGGUAACAUCAUAAGUAAUACUCCACCUUUAUCCCCUCCUUUCAAUACUGGGAAUCGAUUUGUCCACACAACACUACUCCCAAAUCAUCCAGUUCAUAUUUCGAGCUGCAUCAUAGCUCCUACUAUCAAUCCUUCCGUUAUAUCCUUUUGCCCUAUUACACCCUCAUACCCAAUGGCCACCCAACCUUUUAUUCCUACUUGAUUGUAUCCGAUGUCUACUCACUCAUACUACCCUCAGGACAUCCCCGCAUCCCUAGCCCAAAAUUUCAUGAGUCACCCACCUGUUCUUCAUACCCUGUCUCAAUUGACCCCCUCUCCUGUAGCCCAUUUUUCCAACCAAUUACUCAUCCCUUAGCACAAACUUUUAGAUCCCUUUAGGAAUUUUCUAACUAAUAAUGUUGGUUAGGUUCAAACGAGUCAGGUAGGGGCUGAGAAAGCGGUGUCAUCAUCAAAAUUACCUAAAACGAAGUUAGCCUUUCCCGAAUUUGAUGAGUUGAACGCCAUGUUGG